ACACGUGUUUCGUGUUUCGGUGAGUGUGGCGGAGAUGGGGAGCCGGGACCCCGCCGAGCCGAUGUCGCUUGGAGAGGCGACGCAGAGUGGCGUCCGGCCUGCCGACCGCCAUGGCCUAUUGAAGCACAGUCGCGAGUUCUUGGACUUCUUCUGGGACAUUGCGAAGCCUGAGCAGGAGACGCGACUUGCGGCCACGGAGAAGCUGCUGGAGUAUCUGCGCGGCAGGCCGAAGGGGUCCGAGAUGAAAUAUGCCCUGAAGCGUCUAAUCACGGGACUUGGGGUCGGGCGAGAAACAGCCCGGCCCUGCUACAGUUUGGCCCUGGCACAGCUGUUACAGUCUUUUGAAGACCUCCCCUUGUGCAGCAUCCUGCAGCAGAUACAAGAAAAAUAUGACCUGCAUCAGGUGAAGAAGGCAAUGCUGAGACCUGCUCUCUUUGCAAACCUGUUUGGAGUGCUCGCCCUCUUUCAGUCAGGCCGGCUGGUGAAGGUAAGAGCUUUGGAGGGACUGGGGGAAUGUAGGCUGGCUUGGGAUGGGUGGGAGACAGUAGUUUGCCCUGCUCAUACCCUCUAUCCCUCUGUGGGGAUCAGGACCAGGAGGCACUGAUGAAGUCGGUGAAGCUGCUGCAGGCCCUGGCCCAGUACCAAAACCACUUGCAGGAGCAGCCCCGGAAGGCCCUGGUGGACAUCCUCUCCGAGGUCUCGAAGGCCACAUUGCAGGAGAUCCUGCCAGAGGUCCUCAAAGCUGACUUGAAUAUAAUACUCAGCUCCCCUGAACAGCUAGAGCUCUUCCUCCUGGCCCAGCAGAAGGUGCCCUCCAAGCUCAAGAAGCUGGUGGGAUCCGUGAACCUAUUCUCGGAUGAGAAUGUUCCCAGGCUGGUGAACGUGCUGAAGAUGGCCGCCUCCUCUGUGAAGAAGGACCGCAAGCUGCCCGCCAUCGCUCUGGACCUGCUCCGCCUGGCGCUCAAGGAAGACAAGUUCCCAC
This 982-nucleotide small RNA is filed under the name Pongo abelii (Sumatran orangutan). RNAcentral's name for it is "retained intron". Lineage: Eukaryota; Metazoa; Chordata; Mammalia; Primates; Hominidae. The record is from RNAcentral.